UCCCUCAGUUUCUCUUCAUGUGGAUCUUUUCACAGCACUGCCUGAUGACAUGGAAGGUGACCUCCCCAAGGAAAGAGAGAGAGCAUCUAAUCUAAUCUGAGAAGUGAUAUCCCACCACUUGUGCCUAAUUUGAUUCAUUAGAAGUUGAUCAAUAAAUCCCACUCAAGAGCAGGAUGUGACAACCAAGAGAUGGUCUGAGAGUACCUGUGCUGAAAUGGAAUUGUCUUUGAGUGGACACUUCUUAGAUGAGACCUAUUGUGGCCAAUAGCUCCUGAGGAACUGAAGCCUUCAGUUCAAAACUUGUGUGAGAAAAAUGAAUCUUGCCAACUACUGGAGUGAGCUUAGAAAUGAAUCCAUCCCCAGUUGACCCUUGAAUGUAGCCUUGUCAGAGACCCAGAGACAAAGCAUCCUGCUAAUCUGCACUGGGUUCUAGGCCCACAGGAACCAUGGGAUAAUAACUUUGUGUUGCUAUAAGCCACUGAAAACAAACAAAUAAAAUACUUAAGAUGUUCCCCUGUGGAAGGGUUCCAUUGCCAGGGAUCUGCACUUCACAACCAAAGGGAUUAAAGAGAAUUGCCUUCUUCAGAUUUCAGACUGUGGCCUGCUUCUGGUUUUUCUUUCUAUAUUCAUAUAUAUGUUUGUUUAAAUCAUCCUACUUUUGGAGCAUGAAAAAUUACUAUUACAGUUUAUAGAAAGGGAAGAAAUCUGGUACAUGCUAAAGUUAUUCAUCUGUAACUACCUGACGAGCCCAAUUAGUUGCUUGCUCCUAUGGAUUCUGAGCCUAAAAUCCCUUCAACAGAUCUUUGACCUUUUCUCAGAUGUCACAGCUGAGGCCAGUGAUGUUACCUUCAUCCUCCUGCUAUCUUCUCUACAACUCUUGCAGGCUCAUCACCGCUCCAGAGUCUAGGGAAACUCACAAGUUAGGAGAAUUUAGGAAGAUACAGAUCUGAAACUCAAUGCUAAAGCACCCUUCUAAUAUAUGAGGAUAACAUUGCCUUUAGAGACUUAGAUUGACUGGUAUUUAAAAAUGAACAGUCACAAAUUUAUAUUUUUUAAUGAUUAAAGUUCUAAACACUCAGU
RNAcentral lists this long non-coding RNA (1080 nucleotides) under Pan paniscus (pygmy chimpanzee). Its description in RNAcentral is "lncRNA (ENSPPAG00000044666.1)". The record is from RNAcentral. Lineage: Eukaryota; Metazoa; Chordata; Mammalia; Primates; Hominidae.